UACGGGGGGAGCAAGCGUUGUUCGGAUUUACUGGGCGUAAAGGGCGCGUAGGCGGCGCAACAAGUCAAUUGUGAAAUCUCCGGGCUUAACUCGGAAAGGUCAACUGAUACUGCGGGGCUAGAGUGCGGAAGGGGCAACUGGAAUUCUCGGUGUAGCGGUGAAAUGCGUAGAUAUCAAGAGGAACACCUGAGGUGAAGACGGGUUGCUGGGCUGAUACUGACGCUGAGGCGCGAAAGCUAGGGUAGCAAACGGG
This 253-nucleotide ribosomal RNA is filed under the name uncultured bacterium. RNAcentral's name for it is "partial 16S ribosomal RNA". It matches the Rfam family "Bacterial small subunit ribosomal RNA", at positions 524 to 776 of the family's 1533-position model. The record is from RNAcentral.